Molecule: ribosomal RNA, 459 nt
Filed under: uncultured bacterium
Lineage: Bacteria
Description: partial 16S ribosomal RNA
Rfam family: Bacterial small subunit ribosomal RNA
Source: RNAcentral
CCUACGGGAGGCAGCAGUGAGGAAUAUUGGUCAAUGGGCGGAAGCCUGAACCAGCCAAGCCGCGUGAGGGAUGAAGGUACAGAGUAUCGUAAACCUCUUUUGUCAGGGAACAAAGGCGGGGACGCGUCCCCGGAUGAGUGUACCUGAAGAAAAAGCAUCGGCUAACUCCGUGCCAGCAGCCGCGGUAAUACGGAGGAUGCGAGCGUUAUCCGGAUUUAUUGGGUUUAAAGGGUGCGCAGGCGGUCUGUUAAGUCAGCGGUCAAAGCCCGGGGCUCAACCCCGGCCCGCCGUUGAAACUGGCAGUCUCGAGUUGGAGAGAAGUAUGCGGAAUGCGCGGUGUAGCGGUGAAAUGCAUAGAUAUCGCGCAGAACUCCGAUUGCGAAGGCAGCAUGCCGGCUCCACACUGACGCUGAGGCACGAAAGCGUGGGUAUCGAACAGGAUUAGAUACCCGAGUAGUC